GCCCCCGUAGCUUAGUUGGUAAAGCGCCUGCCUCGUAAGCAGGAGAUCGUGGGUUCGAAUCCCACCGGGGGCU
This 73-nucleotide transfer RNA is filed under the name Candidatus Aenigmatarchaeota archaeon. RNAcentral's name for it is "tRNA-Thr". It matches the Rfam family "tRNA". From Rfam's summary of the family: Transfer RNA (tRNA) molecules are approximately 80 nucleotides in length. The record is from RNAcentral. Lineage: Archaea; Nanobdellati; Candidatus Aenigmatarchaeota.